This 449-nucleotide ribosomal RNA is filed under the name Veillonella parvula. Its description in RNAcentral is "bacterial SSU rRNA". It matches the Rfam family "Bacterial small subunit ribosomal RNA", at positions 28 to 453 of the family's 1533-position model. Lineage: Bacteria; Bacillati; Bacillota; Negativicutes; Veillonellales; Veillonellaceae. The record is from RNAcentral.
GACGAACGCUGGCGGCGUGCUUAACACAUGCAAGUCGAACGAAGAGCGAUGGAAGCUUGCUUCUAUCAAUCUUAGUGGCGAACGGGUGAGUAACGCGUAAUCAACCUGCCCUUCAGAGGGGGACAACAGUUGGAAACGACUGCUAAUACCGCAUACGAUCUAAUCUCGGCAUCGAGGAUAGAUGAAAGGUGGCCUCUACAUGUAAGCUAUCACUGAAGGAGGGGAUUGCGUCUGAUUAGCUAGUUGGAGGGGUAACGGCCCACCAAGGCGAUGAUCAGUAGCCGGUCUGAGAGGAUGAACGGCCACAUUGGGACUGAGACACGGCCCAGACUCCUACGGGAGGCAGCAGUGGGGAAUCUUCCGCAAUGGACGAAAGUCUGACGGAGCAACGCCGCGUGAGUGAUGACGGCCUUCGGGUUGUAAAGCUCUGUUAAUCGGGGACGAAAAGG